AGCUUGCUCUUAUGAAGUUAGCGGCGGACGGGUGAAUAACACGUGGGUAACCUGCCCAUAAGACUGGGAUAACUCCGGGAAACCGGGGCUAAUACCGGAUAACAUUUUGAACUGCAUGGUUCGAAAUUGAAAGGCGGCUUCGGCUGUCACUUAUGGAUGGACCCGCGUCGCAUUAGCUAGUUGGUGAGGUAACGGCUCACCAAGGCAACGAUGCGUAGCCGACCUGAGAGGGUGAUCGGCCACACUGGGACUGAGACACGGCCCAGACUCCUACGGGAGGCAGCAGUAGGGAAUCUUCCGCAAUGGACGAAAGUCUGACGGAGCAACGCCGCGUGAGUGAUGAAGGCUUUCGGGUCGUAAAACUCUGUUGUUAGGGAAGAACAAGUGCUAGUUGAAUAAGCUGGCACCUUGACGGUACCUAACCGGAAAGCCACGGCUAACUACGUGCCAGCAGCCGCGGUAAUACGUAGGUGGCAAGCGUUAUCCGGAAUUAUUGGGCGUAAUGCGCGCGCAGGUGG
This 518-nucleotide ribosomal RNA is filed under the name Bacillus thuringiensis. RNAcentral's name for it is "bacterial SSU rRNA". It matches the Rfam family "Bacterial small subunit ribosomal RNA", at positions 77 to 578 of the family's 1533-position model. The record is from RNAcentral. Lineage: Bacteria; Bacillati; Bacillota; Bacilli; Caryophanales; Bacillaceae.